CUACGAGAGGCUGCAGUGGGGAAUAUUGCACAAUGGAGGAAACUCUGAUGCAGCAACGCCGCGUGGAGGAUGACACUUUUCGGAGCGUAAACUCCUUUUAUAUAGGAAGAAGAUGACAGUACUAUAUGAAUAAGCGCCGGCUAACUCCGUGCCAGCAGCCGCGGUAAUACGGAGGGCGCAAGCGUUACUCGGAAUCACUGGGCGUAAAGAGCGUGUAGGCGGAUUAAAAAGUCAGAAGUGAAAUCCUAUAGCUUAACUAUAGAGCUGCUUCUGAAACUCUUAAUCUAGAAUAUGGGAGAGGUAGAUGGAAUUUCUGGUGUAGGGGUAAAAUCCGUAGAGAUCAGAAGGAAUACCGAUUGCGAAGGCGAUCUACUAGAACAUUAUUGACGCUGAGACGCGAAAGCGUGGGGAGCAAACAGGAUUAGAUACCCCGGUAGUC
RNAcentral lists this ribosomal RNA (439 nucleotides) under uncultured bacterium. RNAcentral describes it as "partial 16S ribosomal RNA". It matches the Rfam family "Bacterial small subunit ribosomal RNA", at positions 339 to 795 of the family's 1533-position model. The record is from RNAcentral.